RNAcentral lists this ribosomal RNA (253 nucleotides) under uncultured bacterium. Its description in RNAcentral is "partial 16S ribosomal RNA". It matches the Rfam family "Bacterial small subunit ribosomal RNA", at positions 524 to 776 of the family's 1533-position model. The record is from RNAcentral.
UACGUAGGGGGCUAGCGUUGUCCGGAAUCAUUGGGCGUAAAGAGCGUGUAGGCGGCCCGGUAAGUCCGCUGUGAAAGUCGGGGGCUCAACCCUCGAAAGCCGGUGGAUACUGUCGGGCUAGAGUGCGGAAGAGGCGAGUGGAAUUCCUGGUGUAGCGGUGAAAUGCGUAGAUAUCUGGAGGAACACCGGUGGCGAAGGCGGCAUCCUGGGCCGGCAUUGACGCUGAGGCGCGAAAGCCAGGGGAGCAAACGGG